This 73-nucleotide transfer RNA is filed under the name Chloroflexota bacterium. Its description in RNAcentral is "Chloroflexi bacterium (anaerobic digester metagenome) tRNA-Glu". It matches the Rfam family "tRNA". Rfam says of the family: Transfer RNA (tRNA) molecules are approximately 80 nucleotides in length. Lineage: Bacteria; Bacillati; Chloroflexota. The record is from RNAcentral.
GCCUCCAUCGUCUAGGGGACCAGGACGCGGCCCUUUCAAGGCCAAAACCAGGGUUCGAAUCCCUGUGGAGGCA